RNAcentral lists this ribosomal RNA (497 nucleotides) under uncultured bacterium. RNAcentral describes it as "partial 16S ribosomal RNA". It matches the Rfam family "Bacterial small subunit ribosomal RNA", at positions 28 to 507 of the family's 1533-position model. The record is from RNAcentral.
GAUGAACGCUGGCGGCGUGCCUAAUACAUGCAAGUCGAGCGAACGGACGAGAAGCUUGCUUCUCUGAUGUUAGCGGCGGACGGGUGAGUAACACGUGGAUAACCUACCUAUAAGACUGGGAUAACUUCGGGAAACCGGAGCUAAUACCGGAUAAUAUUUUGAACCGCAUGGUUCAAAAGUGAAAGACGGUCUUGCUGUCACUUAUAGAUGGAUCCGCGCUGCAUUAGCUAGUUGGUAAGGUAACGGCUUACCAAGGCAACGAUGCAUAGCCGACCUGAGAGGGUGAUCAGCCACACUGGAACUGAGACACGGUCCAGACUCCUACGGGAGGCAGCAGUAGGGAAUAUUCCGCAAUGGGCGAAAGCCUGAUGGAGCAACGCCGCGUGAGUGAUGAAGGUCUUCGGAUCGUAAAACUCUGUUAUUAGGGAAGAACAUAUGUGUAAGUAACUGUGCACAUCUUGACGGUACCUAAUCAGAAAGCCACGGCUAACUACGUG